GUGCUAAUCUGCGAUAAGCGCCGGUAAGGUGAUAUGAACCGUUAUAACCGGCGAUACCCGAAUGGGGAAACCCAGUGUGAUUCGUCACACUAUCAUUAACUGAAUCCAUAGGUUAAUGAGGCGAACCGGGGGAACUGAAACAUCUAAGUACCCCGAGGAAAAGAAAUCAACCGAGAUUCCCCCAGUAGCGGCGAGCGAACGGGGAGGAGCCCAGAGCCUGAAUCAGCAUGUGUGUUAGUGGAAGCGUCUGGAAAGGCGCGCGAUACAGGGUGACAGCCCCGUACACAAAAGCGCAUGUGCUGUGAGCUCGAUGAGUAGGGCGGGACACGUGGUAUCCUGUCUGAAUAUGGGGGGACCAUCCUCCAAGGCUAAAUACUCCUGACUGACCGAUAGUGAACCAGUACCGUGAGGGAAAGGCGAAAAGAACCCCGGCGAGGGGAGUGAAAAAGAACCUGAAACCGUGUACGUACAAGCAGUGGGAGCACCCUUUGGGUGUGACUGCGUACCUUUUGUAUAAUGGGUCAGCGACUUAUAUUCUGUAGCAAGGUUAACCGAAUAGGGGAGCCGGAGGGAAACC
Molecule: ribosomal RNA, 577 nt
Filed under: Salmonella enterica subsp. enterica serovar Enteritidis
Lineage: Bacteria; Pseudomonadati; Pseudomonadota; Gammaproteobacteria; Enterobacterales; Enterobacteriaceae
Description: partial 23S ribosomal RNA
Rfam family: Bacterial large subunit ribosomal RNA
Source: RNAcentral